GACUCAUCGGUAUGGGAUGGGGUCGCGUCCUAUCAGCUUGAUGGCGGGGUAACGGCCCACCAUGGCUUCGACGGGUAGCCGGCCUGAGAGGGCGACCGGCCACAUUGGGACUGAGAUACGGCCCAGACUCCUACGGGAGGCAGCAGUGGGGAAUAUUGCACAAUGGGCGCAAGCCUGAUGCAGCGACGCCGCGUGCGGGAUGACGGCCUUCGGGUUGUAAACCGCUUUUGACUGGGAGCAAGCCCUUCGGGGUGAGUGUACCUUUCGAAUAAGCACCGGCUAACUACGUGCCAGCAGCCGCGGUAAUACGUAGGGUGCAAGCGUUAUCCGGAAUUAUUGGGCGUAAAGGGCUCGUAGGCGGAUCGUCGCGUCCGGUGUGAAAGUCCAUCGCUUAUCGGUGGAUCCGCGCCGGGUACGGGCGGG
This 423-nucleotide ribosomal RNA is filed under the name uncultured Bifidobacterium sp. RNAcentral describes it as "bacterial SSU rRNA". It matches the Rfam family "Bacterial small subunit ribosomal RNA", at positions 206 to 640 of the family's 1533-position model. The record is from RNAcentral. Lineage: Bacteria; Bacillati; Actinomycetota; Actinomycetes; Bifidobacteriales; Bifidobacteriaceae.